RNAcentral lists this long non-coding RNA (299 nucleotides) under Dromaius novaehollandiae (emu). RNAcentral's name for it is "lncRNA (ENSDNVG00000006797.1)". The record is from RNAcentral. Lineage: Eukaryota; Metazoa; Chordata; Aves; Casuariiformes; Dromaiidae.
UGACCUACCACAGGUGCCUCUGCAUUGCUUGCUACAGGCCUCCACAGCCCCCCUGCUGACUGUCCAAGGAAUUAGGAAACUUAAUUUGGAAGGACAGCUGUGUGCAGCACCUAACAUUUAAAUACAUUAUGAGCCUAUCUAAGGACAACAGUGCAAGCUACCAUACUGGAUGAAACAUGAUGUUGCAUCGUGUAGGAACAUCCCCUGGCAAGGUCAACAGAAGGUUCAUCAGAGGAAGUUAUAGGUUCUCUGGAUAUGCCACAGUGCCUGCUUGGAGCUGAAGAAGAAAUGUUUGCUUC